AGAACGAACGCUGGCGGCAUGCCUAAUACAUGCAAGUCGAACGAAGGCUUCGGCCUUAGUGGCGCACGGGUGCGUAACGCGUGGGAAUCUGCCCCUUGGUUCGGAAUAACAGUUGGAAACGACUGCUAAUACCGGAUGAUGACGAAAGUCCAAAGAUUUAUCGCCAAGGGAUGAGCCCGCGUAGGAUUAGCUAGUUGGUGAGGUAAAGGCUCACGAGGCGACGAUCCUUAGCUGGUCUGAGAGGAUGAUCAGCCACACGUGGGACUGACGACGACCGGCCCAAGACCUCCCGUAACGGGGACG
Molecule: ribosomal RNA, 303 nt
Filed under: uncultured soil bacterium
Lineage: Bacteria
Description: bacterial SSU rRNA
Rfam family: Bacterial small subunit ribosomal RNA
Source: RNAcentral